UGUUAAUGGGUGUAAAAUUAUCUGGCGAGGCUAAUAAAGACAUGUUGGAAUGGUUCGGAAAGCAUUUCAAGUUGUGUUGUCAUACGGGCAUCUUGAACUGCAAGUGGUGGAGAUUUUCUAUCUCAAGAUAUAUGAAGUACUGACAUGUUGCAUCGAUGUGGCUCUACAUGUGCUAAAACAAUUCUCAUUUUCUGAGAGCAAAUCUGAAAUCAAUGAUUGUUAGAUUUUACUUGAAGCAUUUGUCUCAUAAGAAUGAGUUGGAUUGUGCUCAUGGCGUAUGACCAGAUGAAGAGUGAAGUUAGUUUAUGGAUGGUAUAAAUAUUGCAAACUUGAACUUUCCGAACUAUGGAUAAGAUAGGGUGUA
Molecule: long non-coding RNA, 364 nt
Organism: Solanum stenotomum
Lineage: Eukaryota; Viridiplantae; Streptophyta; Magnoliopsida; Solanales; Solanaceae
Exons: 3
Source: RefSeq, a predicted model, not a curated record